CUUUAUUCUAUAUAGUAUGUAUAGAUAUAAUCAGAGGAGUUCCAAAUAGUGUCAAUAAACAUUUGGUUCAAGAUUCAGAAAAGAAUAUCGUAACUUUAACUUAACGGUAAGCCAUUUAGCAAAGCAGUGUUUGCUCUAGCAUUGACAACUUUUCGAAAAUCAAAUGGAGCAGUAGAUACAAAGAGCUUUUAAUUAUAUAAUACAUGUUUUCCAAAAUUUAUUAACAUGUUAAGUAUUAUAUAGCAAUCGUGCGAUAUUUGUUUUCGUGUUUGCAUGGUAACACAUACUUAAACACAUAGUGCAAUAUUAAUUUACAUUAUUUGUCUAAAUAUUUUAAAGGGACAUUUUACAAUACAUUUUUUAAUCCUGAUACACACCAUUGCAUUUGUUAAACAGGGAAGUAAAAAUGUAUUUAAAUUUCAUAUAUAUAAUUAAUUUUAAAUGUGUUUCAUUAUAUCGUCCUUAAUCUGUGUGUAUAUAUAUAUAUAGAGUCUAUAAGAAUCUACCAACCAGUAAUUGGGUAUUGAUCAUCAAAUACAAUACUACACAACAGGAAAAAUUAAUAUGAGUCUGAAAGAUUGUGUAACAAUACCGAUAAAUAGAUGGAAAACAAAACACUAAAAAGUGUUGAAUAUCAUUGCACAAAGAUGGAAAAACUGAACAGAUGAUAUAAAUUAUACAUAAUUGCAAUAUUUCGGCUCAACAAAUGGCCUUCUUCGGUGACAAAAACUUUUAACAAUAAUGAGAUAUAAUGUAUAAGGUUAAACAUAGAUCACUAAUAAUACAGGUAAUUUUGGUCGUUGAUUUUAAUCCAAUCCUGAAAACAUGGGUGUCCUCCAUCCAGAUGGAAUCAAUAGAAAGAAAUAAUUAAAUUUACAGUCUAGUGUUAAUAUUAUUAUAUUCAGGAUUUUGGAUUAAAAUCAAUCGACCAAAUUACUUGUAUUAUUAGUGAUCUAUGUUUACCUUAUACAUUAUAUCUCAUUAUUGUUAAAACUUUUGUCACGAAGAAGGCCAUUUGUUGAGCCGAAUUUUGCAAUUAUUGUAUAAUUUUAUCAUCUGUUCAGUUUUUCCAUCUUUGUGCAAUGAUUUCAACACUUUUUAGUGUUUGUUUUCCAUCUAUUAUCGUAUCGUUACACAAUCUUUCAGACUCAUAUAUAUAUAUAUAUAUAUAUAUAUAUAUCUAAUAUAAUACUUAAGUAGAUACCGUACGAUAAGUAAUAGUUAUACACCGAGGGAAAAGUGUGUCUGGAUAAGAAACCCCGUCGGCCGGAGGCCGGAGUGGUUUCUUAUCCAGACACGCCGUAUCCCGAGGUGUAUAACUAACUUACGCCCCAUUCUAAACUCUAUAUUGUUAAAAUUGAUUAUUAAAUGAAAAAAAACCUGAUAGCAUGUAUUUUAUUGACAAUAUCAAACCAUGAUUUAUAAGAUUUUCUUUUAUUACAUACAUGUAUGUAUAUGAAACCCCACUAGUAACCCUUUUUGUGGUUAUCUUUGUUCAAACUUUGACAAGUGAGUAUAUUUUACCAAUGUCAAAGUUGUUUUGCAUAUUCCUAUUAAAUCCAUGGGUUAAUAUGGAUCAGCAGGUCAAGGUUGACCGUAUCGUGUAUUCAUAUUACAAACAAAAAGUACGUCAUGCUCCUUGUAUGCAGUUGUCAAUAUGGAAGGGUAUGAGACGGGCGACAUUUUUUGGCAAGCGCUGGAUUUGGUAGAAAAAACCAAAGAUAAAGACAAUAUUGUAACCCAAAGUACUUACCUGUAUUAGUUUAAUAAAGGUAAUCAUAACUUUAUUUUUUAUCUUACGGUUUUAUAAAAAAAAGCCCCCUUUUUCUCGAGAAUAACUAAAAAUUCAUAUUCGGACCUACAAAGGGAUAAAUGUGUCUGCAAUAGAAACCCGACUACCAGACACGCUCAGCAUACAAAGAUACAGAUUUAAUAUUUUGUAACUCUCUCUUUUGGGGGCAGGGGCUGAUCCAACUGGGAUCCCAUUUCAACAGAAAGAGGGUUGGGUUCCAAUCAGUCAAAUAGAUUACAUUGAUCUUUUAAAUCGGGCCCAACCCGCGGAACCUCUACCCCUGAUCGGCCACUGGAUAACGAGGGGUGGGUUGGUACGAGAGUCAAAUUCGACCUUUAAAAAAAAAGAACACAUCAAUGCUUUAGAAUAGAGACAUAUGACUGGGAUAACAAUAUAUUACUUUCAGCAAAGAAGUAAUUAAAUGAUUAUUUUUGCAUUUAAAAUAUAUGCGUAAUUUUAUUUUAGAAAUUGGAAUUUCCUAGUGUUUUUUUUCUCAAUAUCUUGAAACAAUUUGUAGUGAACACUAUUAGUAAUUUCUUAUGUUCAUGCUAUUUAAAGAUUAAUCAAUUUCUAUUGUUACGAAUAACAAUGGACUUUUUUUGCGGGAUGUAGAAACAGGGUUUUCCAGAAACCCCGCUCAUCACAGCCUGUGGUCAAAUUCCAUUGUUAUUCGUAACAAUAGAUCUAUUCAAUUUACACCUGUUUCAAAAAAAGAAACUAUGAAGUAUAACAAUAGAACUGGGAUGUAAAUGUUGUACAGUCAUAAUGAUUGUACGUCACAACAUAAUUGAAGGUUAAUUAAUUGCUUUCAUUGUAUUGGUCGUUGAACCAGCUUUUAGAAUAGAACUACAAGUACUCUUAGAGUGCUUUUCUUUCAAACACAAACGAUGCAAACGGCUAAGCGCGCACAUGUUUUGAUUAUUUGUUUCUAACAUGCGUUUGCAAAAUUUACCUAAACUUUGACAAACUAUGCUAAAGAUGCGUCUACAGUUUCUCGUUCAUCGUUUGUUAGUACAAACGCUACAUUUGUUUCUUACUUCAACCUGAUUAAACGAUGUAUUUUUUUCUACGUUUUUAAAAAGUCUGUUUACCAACAAGAUGUGCCUAUUAAAACGAAGAUGUGAUAUGAUUGCCAAUGAGACAACUGUUCACAAGAGACCAAAAUGACACAGACAUUAAUAACUAUAGGAUACCGUACGGCCUUCAACAAUGAUCAAAGCCCAUACCGCAUAGUCAGCUAUAAAAGGCCCCGAUAUGACAAUGUAAAACAAUUCAAACGACAAAACUAACGGCCUUAUUUGAAAAAUAAACGAAAAACAAAUAUGUAACACAUGAACAAACGACAACCACUAAACUACAGGCUCCUGACUUGGGACAGGCACAUACAUAAAUACCCUCCCCUAACCUGGGACAGUGGUAUAACAGUACAACAUAAGAACGAACUACAAAAAUCAGUUGAUAAAGGCUUAACUCAUCAGAUGGACAAAAAUACAAUUAUUAAAAGUUCACCAAAGACUUAUUAAACGAUGUAUUUGUUUGUACUUUUGUAGCGUUUAGAAAACAACAACAAACGCCACACAAAGUUUACAAAAUUUUCGUAAAAAAGAAAUGCACCCUUAGAUUGUUUUAUCUACAUCCGUAGUGUAAAAUUGUUAUUUCAAAACCAAUAUUAGAUAAGUGCCGUUUGUUAAUUGUCACCAAGAGAUUCACAACUGAUUUUUAGUUUGUUCGUAUGUUGUGUUGCCAUAGUCCUGUAUAAUCAAGUGUUUUUUUUGUGGCUUCUUGGUUCAGUUUUUUUUUACCAUUCAUCGUGCGUGAAUUAUAAGUUGGGUUUUCUCGAUUGUAUUGUUUAAAUAUAUGUAGCUAUAUAUUUUGCUAAUAGUUAAAGUCUGAACGGUGACCUGUAAUUGUGCACACACUUAUUCUAUAGUAUAAAUGAACUUUUGUCUUCAUACCAUAUAUAAAUAUAUGAAGAUGUGGUACGAUUGCCAAUGAGACGACUCUCUUAUCCAAGUCACAAUUUAUAGCAGCAUACAAUUAUAGGACAUAUCCGCAUAUCUUUUAUUAUUAAUUCACGUUGAAUAUCAAAGUCAUCUGAGAGAUCAUUUCCUUCGUUGUGAUAUUUUGCCACGAAAGAGGAAACUGAUUUUAUAUUUUUUUGCCAUUUUGCUAUUUUGCCACAUCACUAUUACAAUUUCCUAGCACAGAUUUCUACUUCCAGAUGGACCGACCACAAAUAAGAGUUGAACUAGACGUGUGGGAGAAUUCUUUCGUAGAACAGUAUUACAAUCGAAACCAUGGUAUAGUUCCACAUGAAAAUCAAAAAGACGACCCUAAAUAUAACGAAAAGAAAAAACUGAU
This 4153-nucleotide long non-coding RNA is filed under the name Mytilus galloprovincialis (Mediterranean mussel). Lineage: Eukaryota; Metazoa; Mollusca; Bivalvia; Mytilida; Mytilidae. The record is from RNAcentral.